Molecule: non-coding RNA, 1520 nt
Organism: Coturnix japonica (Japanese quail)
Lineage: Eukaryota; Metazoa; Chordata; Aves; Galliformes; Phasianidae
Source: RefSeq, a predicted model, not a curated record
AUAGUGACCCCAGUCUCACCCAGCCAUGGCUCCCUUACCACAUUACACACCACAGACAUUCAAGAUUUGACAGCAGUGGGAUGGAUAAAGGCUGCAUCUUUUUUCUCUACUUCAGUGGGACAAGUUUUCAUCUUUAUGAGACUUCUUACUGGCUAUGGGAUUUAGGAGAUGAUACACAUCCUUUCAAUAAAAUGAGCUGUAAUGCAGAUACUCUGCCCAUUCACAAGAAGUUUACCAGAGUUACCACAGCCAAAGAGUAAGACAAGCAAGGAACAUGAGAGGGAAAUGGAGCAUCUGGAGACUCUCUGGACCUACAUGAAGGUUUUCCACUCCUGUGAUGAGCACCAGCUCCCAGGCACCUGCGGUUAUCUGGGCCAUGGAGUCACCUCAGCACCUUGCCCCCCCAGCCUUCAUUCCACCACCACCUAAUCCCAUCACUGCUGCUCCCAGUACCACCUCAGCACCAGACACGAGGACACAAAGGACAGGGGACACCUUGGGCUUGAUGUCUUUUCAUGGUGUCCUCUGGGAAGAGCUAUCCAUUGUGUAGUUUAUCAAAUCAAUAGAUGCCAUUAAUAUCUCUGGUAGGAUGCAAUUGUAUAUCAGCACUGCUUGCAUCUGCUGUCAGCCAGAUGUCUGGGAGUUGUUUUAUUCUACAGAAAGAUUCAGGUCUGGCUGUUCAAUCAGUAGAAUGUUCAGUGUGUGCAAUCCCAUAGACCAGCACAUUAAACUCAAAAACAUCUAAUGCCACAGACUUACAUAUUAUACGUCUAGUCCUGAAGAGCAGCAAAAUUCACAUGAUGUAAAUGCUGGAGACGUAGCUAUUUAAAACCAGAAAGCUUCUGUGCCUUUAAAACAGCUAAACUCUACUUUCAGUGUUAUGCUUUACUAAAUAUUGUGAUGGGAAAGUUAAUGGGAAAGGACUAGGUGAGCCAGGGGAGGGAGUCACUUUUCUUUUUAUCAGCAGAUCUAAAAUUAUUCUACUUUCAUGGUUGUUUUAAGAUAUUUUGUCGACAGCAUUUUUCAAAGCAAAAUACCACCGCUGCCCUGACAGACCAAUUAUAUUCCCUUACAAUGUCCUACAGGCAUAUGAAUUAUGAACCAGCACAGUUCUGCCUGCCUCUAUAGACAAACUGAACAUGCAUAAUAUUGUGUUUCCCCCAUUUGCGUGACUCGGUGUGCCCUCUGGUGGCAUUUCUUCCCAACAACAUCGCUGUGUGCUCCAACCUCCCAUGCUGGGAAUGCCCGGGGCCAGCACUUCUGCAAAUGCAUAGAAUGGAGAUUUCAGGAAAGAGAAGAAAAGUAAGGCAAAUGCAGCCUCCAUCGGCUUAGUGGUAGAAGACCGCACCUGAAAUGCACAGAUCAGCACAGAGCUGCUGUUCCACCACAGCCCAGUCGCUUCUGUCAUUCAUCCCUGAAGUUCUGAUGUAGUUUGGUGCUGAUUUAUUCUUUGAAAAUCAGCACACUUGGAAAAAUGAAACGUGAAGAGCUGAUGUUGUUAACAGAACUGCAUUGCUGGA